Acanthosepion pharaonis is the source of this 112-nucleotide non-coding RNA. The record is from the annotation of a GenBank genome assembly. Lineage: Eukaryota; Metazoa; Mollusca; Cephalopoda; Sepiida; Sepiidae.
GGGGGCCAUAUCACGUGGAAACAUCGGUUCUUGUACGAUUAUCGAAGGUAAGCAACGUUGAGUCUGUUUAGUACCUAGAUGGGUGACCGUUUGAGAAUACCAGGUGCUGCAA